Molecule: long non-coding RNA, 2969 nt
Filed under: Heterocephalus glaber (naked mole-rat)
Lineage: Eukaryota; Metazoa; Chordata; Mammalia; Rodentia; Bathyergidae
Description: lncRNA (ENSHGLG00000034589.1)
Source: RNAcentral
GCCGGAAGUGAGGCUGUGAGGCGGGUAGGCAUUGCCGGGUGAGUAAGUGUGUUAACGAGGCUUGCGAUAUCCCGCGUUUGGUAUUGCGAUCCCCUCCUUCUCCAGGCUCAGUUUGUGCGGCAGGCGGCGGAACCACUGAGCUAAAUCCCCGGCCCUGAGCUGAGACUCCAAAGUGCCAAGAACCCUGUCAAGUGGUAGUGUGGGAUAUGACCUACCUCGGCUACCAGGGAAGUCAGACAGGAGCCAAGGGGUGCCACUUGGUGUGGCCCUGAAGAAAAUUUUCCAUGGAUGACUGGAACACCCUUCUGUAUUACUCCCUGAAAUCACACUUUGGUUUCUUUCUGAUGCUUGAAACUAUUCUAUGAGCUACAAAGAUGGUAAUAAAUCUUUGCCUCCCACAGUUCAGACCAAGAAUUCACUGCAACAAGAUAUCAGCUGAUGGUUAUGAAGUAGAAAAUCUCAUCUCUGAAGACCUCACAAAGAGAAGCCAUGGUUUUAGGACAGAGUAUUUCAUUAAGCCACCAGUCCACGUGACAGUUUCCUUUCCCUUUAAUGUAUGCCAAAUCUGUAGGAUUCAUAGACCUCACAGCUUGGGGCAGCCAGAAUGUCACUGGCCUGGAGAUGUACACGUCCACCUUAUCCAGCAGAGCCUCUUGGAGUGGGCCCAAGUGCCAGGGCCUCAGCUCCACCGAGCCCUCCUGUGCCCAACAAAGAGGCGUUCACCUUGGUCGGCAAAGUCUUGCUGAAGAACCAGAGCCAAGUGGUAUUCAGCCAGGGCUUCCAAGGCCAGGCCACCUUUUAGCCCAGUGGAAGUCACACUUCCCUCCCCUGCAGUUAUGGCCCAGGAGCUCUGGAAUAAAGGGACUCUUUCCCUUUGCCAUGUGGCCCACCUCAGGAUCUGCAUCACCCACGUGACGGGCAGUGGUGUCCCUUGCAUCAAGAGGUUGGAGGCAGGGUCAGCCGGCCAAGACUUGCUCUCAGGAGGUGAUAGACAGUGUCUUGCUGGUGGCCUCAGAGAGUAUACCUCAGGACCUGGCCCUGCAGAACCGAGCCUCUGCCCAUGGAGAGUGACUGCCACCCGAAGGCCAAUCUGAGGGCCAGCAGGCCCCUUCCAGCCUCGAGGAGCUGGCUGAGGUGAUUUGGGAAGUGCCUGAGGAGUCUCCUGGAUCCCAUCACCCUGGAGAUCAUGCCCUGCCCCAUGCUGCUGCUCCUCGGGCAAGGUCAUCGAUCAGAGCACCCUAGAGAAGUGCUAACCGCAGUGAGGCCACUUGGGGCCGAGUGCCCAGUGACCCAUUCACAGGCAUUGCCUUCACCCCGCACUCCCAACCCCUGCCACACCCCACCCUGAAGGCCCGCAUAGACCACUUCCUGCUCCAGCACUCUGUCCCUAGCUGCCACCUGCUUGGGAGAGCACAGGCUGCACUCAGCAGUGACCCCUUCUUCCAUAACCCCUGCCUUCUCGGAAAAGGAAGCUGGAGCAGGGGCACCGGGCCCAGACAGUAGCCUUGGUGUGAACACUUCCUGCUUUCCUCCGGACCACAAAACUUUCUGGUCUCUUCCACUGCUUCAGAACAUUCCACCAAGAAAAUGAAGGCCACCGACGAGCCUAUCCUGAUGCACAUGGACUGCUCCACAGAAUCAGUGUCCCAUGAGCAAAAGCUGUCACAAAGCUUGAAAAUGGCCUUGAUGACCACCCUUGGCUCUAUGCCUUCCUUCACACCCCGGCUGAAUAGGGGGACAGCUCCAGCACCUGGGCACAAGAGGAAGCAGCACUUCGGGAGGCCAGGCGCCAGCUCAGGGCAGCCUGGCUGCCACCCAGGCCCCGAGUGCACCUCCUGCAAAAGAGUGUUUUCUUCCUACUUCAAAAAAGGAGCCCAUGUACCAGCUGCCCUGUGGCCACCUCCUGUGCCGCCCUUGCCUGGGUGAGAAGCAGCACUCCCUGCCCAUGACCUGCACAGCCUGCCAGCAGCCCUUCACCAGCCAGGAUGUGCUGCGGGUGCACUUCUGACUGACCAGCCUCAGCUGGAGACAGCCAUCACUGGAAGGAGCCAGUGGGGAGCAGGAUUGGGGUCACAGCACCUCUGCGGUUUGGCCAGAGACAGGCACAGAGCUGCCUGUUCUCUUUCUGGGCUUUGUCACCUCACAGUGCAGCACAGGGGUGGGGGGCAGGCUUACUUCUAUUCAGGUGGCCACAAGAUAAAGCCAUAGACUGGGUAGGGAGGGUUGGGGAGAUAUCCCUGCUCUCCUGUACCUCCCUGCCAUGCCCCUGCCAACACCUGCCCAGGGUGGGCACCCCUCCUGAAGGCAUCCCACAUUGUCUGCACACCCCCUCCCAGCAAAGCCUGCAGAGUGGGGCACAGUGAACUGCUCAGGGUCACCCAGAAGUAAACCACACGGGGCUUGGGGUGCAUGACUCAGCCCCUGCCCCCAGCUGGCAACACCUGUGGCCUUAAUAAAGUGAUGGUUGACGUCCUCCUUGGGGAGCACCUGUGUCAUCAUACUCCUGUCCCCAUUUGUCCAUUAAGUGACUGUCACGGGGCACCCAUGAAAGGACAAAAGCUAGAUGGCGUGUUCAGUCUGCCCUGUGUUGGAGGGCCCCAGGUCAGGGUUUGCAGUAGGCAUCACCGUGGGGGCUGUGUAGCCUCCAUCUGCAAGGUACCUGUUGCAGCUGUCAUGGAGAAAACACCUGUGCAGCAUGUGGCCCAUUUCAGGAAAAAAUUUGUGUUUAUAGGCUGUCUUUGUUUUUUUUUCUAUUCACAAUCUAGCUUUAUGGAGUCCCAAAGGAUAUGUAUUCCUACAGCUUUGCUUACCAUAUCAAAUAGAUUCUAGUCACCUGAAGAUUCAGUGAGGAAAUACACCACGCUAUUCUGUGCACUUCCGGAGCACACUGGGGAGACUCAGCCUGACGUGCUCCUGCUUAACCCCUGAGGUUAAUGGCAAGCCUUGUGGGCAGCCCAUUUCUUGUCCCC